CCCUUAGAUGUCCUGGGCCGCACGCGCGUUACACUGAUGCAUUCAACGAGCUUAUAACCUUGGCCGAGAGGCCUGGGCAAUCUUGUUAACGUGCAUCGUGAUUGGGAUAGACCUUUGCAAUUAUGGGUCUUCAACGAGGAAUUCCUAGUAAACGCAAGUCAUCAGCUUGCAUUGAUUACGUCCCUGCCCUUUGUACACACCGCCCGUCGCACCUACCGAUUGAAUGGUCCGGUGAAAUCUCGGGACGGCGGCUUGGUCGCUUGCGUCCGACUGCUGAAACUUGAUUAAACCAUAUCAUUUAGAGGAAGGUGAAGUCGUAACA
Molecule: ribosomal RNA, 322 nt
Filed under: uncultured eukaryote
Lineage: Eukaryota
Description: partial 18S ribosomal RNA
Rfam family: Eukaryotic small subunit ribosomal RNA
Source: RNAcentral